RNAcentral lists this ribosomal RNA (498 nucleotides) under uncultured bacterium. RNAcentral describes it as "SSU rRNA". It matches the Rfam family "Bacterial small subunit ribosomal RNA", at positions 26 to 517 of the family's 1533-position model. The record is from RNAcentral.
AGAUUGAACGCUGGCGGCGUGCCUAACACAUGCAAGUCGAGCGGUAACAGGUGUAGCAAUACAUGCUGACGAGCGGCGAACGGGUGAGUAAUGCUUUGGAAUCUUCCCAGUAGUGGGGAAUAACCAGUCGAAAGAUUGGCUAAUACCGCAUACGUCUGUAAAGGGAAAGCGGGGGCUCGUAAGACCUCGCGCUAUUGGAUGAGCCAAAGUCGGAUUAGCUUGUUGGUGGGGUAAUGGCCUACCAAGGCGACAAUCCGUAGCUGGUCUGAGAGGACGACCAGCCACACCGGAACUGAGACACGGUCCGGACACCUACGGGUGGCAGCAGUUUCGAAUCAUUCACAAUGGGCGAAAGCCUGAUGGUGCGACGCCGCGUGAGGGAUGGAAGGUCUUCGGAUUGUAAACCUCUGUCACUAGGGAAGAAACGCUUCAGGUUAAUAUCCUGAAGCCUGACUUAACCCGGAGAGGAAGCAGUGGCUAACUCUGUGCCAGCAGCCG